AUGACUUUGUGUGCAUGACAAGUAUUGACCCUGGAAGAAUGUUACCUGAAGGUGAUGAUGGAGCCUACAGUGUGAUCACUUCAAUACCUGGUGCCAGCUGUGCUACUGGUCCUCUUGAAGAAAAAAAUAGUGAAAUGACAGGAAGACCACAAUAUGUGCGUCUUCCAC
Molecule: long non-coding RNA, 168 nt
Organism: Oreochromis niloticus (Nile tilapia)
Lineage: Eukaryota; Metazoa; Chordata; Actinopteri; Cichliformes; Cichlidae
Exons: 3
Source: RefSeq, a predicted model, not a curated record